UCUGCCUUUCGCAUCGACCCUUCCCUAUCGCACCAAAACGGAGCUCCCCUCCAUACCGAGAAGAGAAGAGACGAAGCAAACGAGGAGCGGACCACCAAGGCACCCCUCGCCCCCUCCCCCGCGCGAUCUGAUCCACCCGCCGGAGGUCCGGCCCGGCCGUUCAGGCCAAUGCUGCGGGGAUCCGCCCUCCGCCGCCGCCGCUGCUGAUCGCGGAUUUGAUUAGUACGGACAUUGGAUGAAGUGUGUACUGAUCUAUGGAAGUGGAUACUCUACAAGGUGCUCAGGAGACUAAGAAUGGAGAGAAUGACUUUGAAGAGAAUGGCAGUUUGGAUCCCGUGGUUUACCAGCUAGUUCGGGUUGAAGGUGAUGGAACGCUUGUUCCUCCUACGGAGGACGAAGUCCUGCAGAUUGAACAGUUUCUUGAUGACAAGGUUGAUCUGCCUUCUAUUGAUGAUGUAGGAAAUGUGGAGGAUUUUUUUACUAAUGACUGCAUGCUUCUGAAGGAGCCUGACUUUGAAGAGGGCUAUUCCGAAUUAGAGACUAAUGGUGAAAUACAUACGCAACAGUUUGAUGCUGACCUAGAGGUAGACAGGCUAAAACCGUCGGAUGACUCGCUUGAUAUUCCCUCGAAGUGUACAGUUGUUCAUGAUCACAAACCAGAUAAACUGAACACGGAACAAGGCGAUAACAACAUUGUUCACCAGGACAAUGCUUCCACUGAGACUCCAAAAUCAACAGUAUUAAAUGACUCUUGCAGUGCUGAAAAAGAAAAGGCCGAUGCUUGUUCAAGAUCUGUAAAUAACUCAUCUACAGGACCAUCUGUCUCUGGAGUUACUAGUUCAGUUCCCGACUUCUCCAUUUUAAGAGGGGAAGUCUGUUUGGAUAAUCUUACAAUUAGAGAACUCCAGGAAGCAUUUAGAGCCACAUUUGGGCGCGAAACUACUGUCAAGGACAAGCUAUGGCUCAAAAGACGGAUUACAAUGGGACUGACCAAUUCCUGCGAUGUUCAAAGUUCAGGCUGUGUAGUUAAAGAUUAUAAAAUAGUUUGCAAGGAUGCCAAACACAAGCUACCUACAAUUGAAGGAUUACCUAAGGUUGAGGUUGAAGCUACUUCUUUGGUUAGGUUUCAAGUAUUGGGUUCUGGAAAUGAGAGAGACACAUCAUCUUGCUCUUACUAUCGGAGUGAGGACCAACAGCGAUCCUCCAAUAGGCUAAAAGGAGUAUCAACAGACAACGAUGAAUCAGAAGGAACUUUGCAGGAUGAACAAGGCGCCGCUAAGAGACUUCGAAAACCAACAAAAAGAUACAUUGAGGAGCUCGCAGAUACCGAGACACUUGACUCCACUGGGAAGCUUUCUUCACCAGGAAAAAGGGCUGCACAUGGUGAGGUGUUACUCAGACAACGGGUUACUCCUUUACAAGAAGUUGAUUCAUUGAGUAUAACUUAUCCUACCCGGAAGGAUACUUUUGGAGGAUUUAGUGUACAUGUUCCUUAUGCGUCAAGGAUGAGAAGAGGGCGUCCCCGGAGAAACUUCAUUUCAUUUUUGGAUGACGAUCCACCGGUGGAAUGUCCUGAGGUUCAGAUGGCAGUUGAGACGAUGUUGGGAAAAGAUGGUGAACAUGUGAAUCAUAAAAAUGCUGAGAAGAAAGGAGGGCAUAUAGAAACAGCUGAGAAGAAAGGAGGGCAUAUAGAAACAGCUGAGAAGAAAGGAGGGCAUAUAGAAACAGCUGAUAACAAGGAGAUUCGUUCCAUAGAAGCAGACGAUAUUUGCAGAACUGAUGCCAAAACAAAAACAAAGCGGGGUUUGAAGCGGAAGCAUCAUCGAGCAUGGACAUUGUCCGAAGUUCUGAAGCUGGUCGAUGGCGUGGCUCAGUUCGGGCCUGGCAAAUGGUCUGAGAUUAGAAGACUAUCCUUUGCCUCAUAUUCUUACCGCACCUCAGUGGAUCUCAAGGAUAAGUGGCGCAAUCUGCUAAGAGCCAGCCAGACACAGCUUUCGCCGGAAAACGAUGGUGUUUGUCCGCGGAAAAGCAACCCUUCGAUCAUACCAAUACCACCGGCCAUUUUGCUACGAGUGAAAGAGCUAGCUGAGCUUCAGCCGCAAGCCGGCAACCUGGCGGCGGCAAUCAAGUUCUCAGGGCAGAGCAGCAAGGUGGCACAGGGGAGAGGUUCGUCGGGGUUCCUGUGAUCCAUGUGCUGCAAGGCAAGUAGAUGAAAAAAACAUCCGAGAGAGAUAGUAGGUGUAGUACGCUUGUGGACGACGAACACACAUAUUAUCGCGACGAAGUUGUAAUCGCGUUCUCCAUGUGCAAUGUAAAUAAUCUACCGCGCCUGCAAAAUGCAAUGCAAUGCCUUCUCAUCUGGUUUCCUUCGCAGCAUGUAUUUGUGUACAGUAUGUUCAUAGAGAUUGCCAUACGUUCGAGGUAGGUCAUACUGAAGGUAUGCAUAUAAUGGUGCAAGUGCAUCGGCAAUGGAAUAAAAACACAAAAUUG
This 2490-nucleotide ribosomal RNA is filed under the name Triticum aestivum (bread wheat). Its description in RNAcentral is "partial small subunit ribosomal RNA". Lineage: Eukaryota; Viridiplantae; Streptophyta; Magnoliopsida; Poales; Poaceae. The record is from RNAcentral.